Long non-coding RNA from Ornithorhynchus anatinus (platypus), 478 nucleotides. RefSeq lists it as uncharacterized. Lineage: Eukaryota; Metazoa; Chordata; Mammalia; Monotremata; Ornithorhynchidae. The transcript has 3 exons. The record is from RefSeq and is a predicted model, not a curated record.
UGCCUAAGAGGGCUUCUCUCCACCUCCACACUGUUAGCUCUUGUAGCAGUAACUUAAAACCAGCUUCUUCCUGAGGUCUGUUGACCAAGGCCGUGGCUCCUUUUCACCUUGUCUAUCUGGAUGCAUUUCCCGAUCCCAGCAGAGGGCAGGACAGGCUCACAGAAGACUCGAAAAUGGUCCUCACUGCUUUUCAGCAUGACCGAGGUAAAUUGCUCCCGCUACAAGAGGCAGGGGAUAAUGAGAGACUCUUGUUCCUGCCUUGCAGCCGCCUUGAUGUUGCAGAGAUGAUGUUUCAUAGGAAAUGAAAGCCCAGGCUUCCACCCUUUUAAAUCACAACCAGACCUAAGUUUCUGGCCCAUCCCUAUGGCAAUAGCUUGUCUGAUACAUCUGUAACCCGUUAGCGGAAUAUACCAGGGCAGGGUUUAUUCAUGAUUAAAGAGCUGUUUGGAACCAUUUUCAUCAAAAUGAUCCUCUCACU